UAGUGUUGAUAAACGGUUCGUUGCUUAUAUUGUCUAUAAGUAGUUUAAUGGUUGAUUUUUCUUCGUCUUCUUGAUCCAUAAAUGGUCUUUUAUAUUUCCAUUUAAUGGAAAAAAGAGAAUCUUCUUUAUGGUUGUAAAUUGUAAGCAAUUUGGAUUGUUAUUAGAUCCAAAUCGACCUCGCAUAUGUCCAAAGAAUAAUUCAAUUGCAUCUUGGCUGAAUUUAUAACAAAUCCGAUGAUAAAAGUUUUUCUCUGGCUUUUCCACAAAGGCACUCCAUCAAUAGUUUUUAGUUGUUUAAAACCCUUCCCAUAUGGAGUUCUUGAAUUUAAGAAGUCAAAAAUAUCAUCAAUAAUUCUAAUAAAUUGAAUUCUA
Molecule: long non-coding RNA, 372 nt
Organism: Aphis gossypii (cotton aphid)
Lineage: Eukaryota; Metazoa; Arthropoda; Insecta; Hemiptera; Aphididae
Exons: 4
Source: RefSeq, a predicted model, not a curated record